UGGGGAAUUUUGGACAAUGGGCGAAAGCCUGAUCCAGCAAUGCCGCGUGUGUGAAGAAGGCCUUCGGGUUGUAAAGCACUUUUGUCCGGAAAGAAAUCCUUGGCUCUAAUACAGUCGGGGGAUGACGGUACCGGAAGAAUAAGCACCGGCUAACUACGUGCCAGCAGCCGCGGUAAUACGUAGGGUGCAAGCGUUAAUCGGAAUUACUGGGCGUAAAGCGUGCGCAGGCGGUUUGCUAAGACCGAUGUGAAAUCCCCGGGCUCAACCUGGGAACUGCAUUGGUGACUGGCAGGCUAGAGUAUGGCAGAGGGGGGUAGAACUCCACGUGUAGCAGUGAAAUGCGUAGAGAUGUGGAGGAAUACCGAUGGCGAAGGCAGCCCCCUGGGCCAAUACUGACGCUCAUGCACGAAAGCGUGGGGAGCAAACAGGAUUAGAUACCCUGGUAGUCCACGCCCUAAACGAUGUCAACUAGUUGUUGGGGAUUCAUUUCCUUAGUAACGUAGCUAACGCGUGAAGUUGACCGCCUGGGGGAGUACGGUCGCAAGAUU
Molecule: ribosomal RNA, 548 nt
Filed under: uncultured bacterium
Lineage: Bacteria
Description: partial 16S ribosomal RNA
Rfam family: Bacterial small subunit ribosomal RNA
Source: RNAcentral